UACGUAGGGGGCUAGCGUUGUCCGGAAUCAUUGGGCGUAAAGAGCGUGUAGGCGGUCCGGUAAGUCCGCUGUGAAAGUCGGGGGCUCAACCCUCGAAUGCCGGUGGAUACUGUCGGGCUAGAGUGCGGAAGAGGCGAGUGGAAUUCCUGGUGUAGCGGUGAAAUGCGUAGAGAUGUGGAGGAAUACCGAUGGCGAAGGCAGCUCCCUGGGCCAAUACUGACGCUCAUGCACGAAAGCGUGGGGAGCAAACAGG
This 253-nucleotide ribosomal RNA is filed under the name uncultured bacterium. Its description in RNAcentral is "partial 16S ribosomal RNA". It matches the Rfam family "Bacterial small subunit ribosomal RNA", at positions 524 to 776 of the family's 1533-position model. The record is from RNAcentral.